Molecule: ribosomal RNA, 346 nt
Filed under: uncultured bacterium
Lineage: Bacteria
Description: partial 16S ribosomal RNA
Rfam family: Bacterial small subunit ribosomal RNA
Source: RNAcentral
CCUACGGGUGGCAGCAGUGAGGAAUAGUGGUCAAUGGGCGCGAGCCUGAACCAGCCAAGUAGCGUGAAGGAUGACUGCCCUACGGGGUGUAAACUUCUUUUAUAAAGGAAUAAAGUGAGGCACGUGGGCCUUUUUGGAUGUACUUUAUGAAUAAGGAUCGGCUAACUCCGUGGCAGCAGCCGCGGUAAGACGGAGGAUCCGAGCGUUAUCCGGAUUGAUGGGGUGUAAAGGGAGCGUAGAUGUGUUGUUAAGUCAGUUGUGAAAGUUUGCGGCUCAACCGUAAAAUUGCAAUUGAUACUGGCAGUCUUGAGUACAGUUGAGUUAGGCGCAAUUCGUGGUGUAGCGG